Molecule: ribosomal RNA, 531 nt
Filed under: uncultured marine alpha proteobacterium
Lineage: Bacteria; Pseudomonadati; Pseudomonadota; Alphaproteobacteria
Description: bacterial SSU rRNA
Rfam family: Bacterial small subunit ribosomal RNA
Source: RNAcentral
UACGGGAGGCAGCAGUGGGGAAUCUUGGACAAUGGGCGCAAGCCUGAUCCAGCCAUGCCGCGUGAGUGAUGAAGGCCCUAGGGUUGUAAAGCUCUUUCACCGGUGAAGAUAAUGACGGUAGCCGGAGAAGAAGCCCCGGCUAACUCCGUGCCAGCAGCCGCGGUAAUACGGAGGGGGCUAGCGUUGUUCGGAAUUACUGGGCGUAAAGCGCACGUAGGCGGGUAUCCAAGUUGGGGGUGAAAUCCCGGGGCUCAACCCCGGAACUGCCUCCAAAACUGGGUACCUAGAGUCCGAGAGAGGUGAGUGGAAUUCCCAGUGUAGAGGUGAAAUUCGUAGAUAUUGGGAAGAACACCAGUGGCGAAGGCGGCUCACUGGCUCGGUACUGACGCUGAGGUGCGACAGCGUGGGGAGCAAACAGGAUUAGAUACCCUGGUAGUCCACGCCGUAAACGAUGAGAGCUAGUUGUCGGGCAGCAUGCUGUUCGGUGACGCAGCUAACGCAUUAAGCUCUCCGCCUGGGGAGUACGGUCGC